Molecule: ribosomal RNA, 459 nt
Filed under: uncultured bacterium
Lineage: Bacteria
Description: partial 16S ribosomal RNA
Rfam family: Bacterial small subunit ribosomal RNA
Source: RNAcentral
CCUACGGGAGGCUGCAGUGAGGAAUAUUGGUCAAUGGGCGGAAGCCUGAACCAGCCAAGUAGCGUGCGGGAUGAAGGCCCUACGGGUCGUAAACCGCUUUUGCACGGGGAUAACACCCUCCACUUGUGGAGGUCUGCAGGUACCGUGCGAAUAAGGGCCGGCUAAUUCCGUGCCAGCAGCCGCGGUCAUACAGAGGGCCCGAGCGUUAUCCGGAUGCAUUGGGCUUAAAGGGAGCGUGGGGGGGCGUUCAAGUCAGCGGUAAAAUCGCGGGGCCCAACCGGGGCCCGCAAUUGAAACUGGACGCCUUGAGUUCACAACAGGCAGGCGGAAUUCGUGGUGUAGCGGUGAAAUGCAUAGAUAUCACGAGGAACCCCGAUUGCGAAGGCAGUCUGCCGGGGUGCGACUGACGCUGAGGCUCGAAGGUGCGGGUAUCAAACAGGAUUAGAUACCCCUGUAGUC